GCCCCUGUAGCUCAGAGGAUAGAGCACUGGCCUCCGGAGCCAGGAGCGUGGGUUCGAGUCCCGCCAGGGGUACCA
RNAcentral lists this transfer RNA (75 nucleotides) under Dehalococcoidia bacterium. RNAcentral's name for it is "tRNA-Arg". It matches the Rfam family "tRNA". Rfam says of the family: Transfer RNA (tRNA) molecules are approximately 80 nucleotides in length. The record is from RNAcentral. Lineage: Bacteria; Bacillati; Chloroflexota; Dehalococcoidia.